Molecule: long non-coding RNA, 287 nt
Organism: Canis lupus familiaris (dog)
Lineage: Eukaryota; Metazoa; Chordata; Mammalia; Carnivora; Canidae
Exons: 3
Source: RefSeq, a predicted model, not a curated record
AAUUAUAUUGAAUGGUUUGCAGAUGCUGAGUGACCUUGCAUUCCUGAGCAGGGAAAUGAAAUUAAAAAUAAUGAGAUACCACCACACAACUAUUAAAAUGGCCCAAAUGCAGAACAACAAUAGCACGAAAUGCUGAUUAGGAUGUGGAGCAACAGUCUUUUAGGUGGUUUCCUAUGGCCGUGGCAUGGGGAAAAUGGAGCUGCAAGUUGAGUCGUGCACCCCCCAAAACACCACCACCUGAGAAACAAAUGCACAACAGCCAAAUAAUAAUAAAUUGUCCAUGCGUG